Long non-coding RNA from Corvus moneduloides (New Caledonian crow), 1698 nucleotides. The record is from Ensembl. Lineage: Eukaryota; Metazoa; Chordata; Aves; Passeriformes; Corvidae.
GGAUAAAGACCCAUAUUGUGCCUUUCUGAUCCCAAGGCUAUCCCCCUCCCCCCUUCCAUUCUUUGGUUUACUCAGUAGAGCUACCCCGAUUCACAUAAGCUAACAAUCUGUUUGAGAAGAAACAAUUAGGCCCAUAGAAGUUGUUGACAUCUUAUUUUCAUUUUUUUCAAUGGCAUAAUGGGUACUCCAGUCCAGCUUGUCCUUUUAUGUUCUCCAUCCCAGGCAUUCCUCCCAGAUGCAAAGUCCCUGUGAGGUUGGGGACAGAACAGUGGCUCUCCCAAACAUUUUGGACCAAGAGACUGCUAGUGACACUUAGCAUUUCUCACAGAACAUGAUGUGGCUGCUGAGCAGGCUAUUAAUUGAAAACACUGCUCAAACCAGGCAAGCUCCCCAGGCCAGCUCAGCUGUGGGCCAGUUCCCGUGCCUUCAGAGCCCGUAGUGCUGGCAAUUGCUGGGACCAGCUGUAGGGGUCGGGGAGGAUGGAGUGUGGUUGCAGGAGGCUACAAGAACAGCUCGGGUGUCUUUUCCCGGAAGUUGGCUGCACACUCUCUGCUUCUUCUUUCUCUGUGGUCGUUUGGAGUUCAGCUUAAAUCAGAUCCGGAAAACAGCAUCCUGCUGCAGAAGAGCCAAUGGUCCUAGAAACAGACUCCUACUAUAAAAAAUCCUACGGGAGCCAGAUGCCCCCGACCCUGACAGAGAUUGAUCAAGCGGCUGGUGGUAUCACCUUUCACUUUGCUUUGGCAAGGGGGGAAGCACCGAAUGAUGGAAAGUUUUCAGGUGAUACCUUCAGAAAGUAUUUAAGGGGGUUUUUUUGUUUAAGUGCUGCAGACAGGAAAGAGUCAUUCUACACCACACAGUGAAGGCACAGAGGCAGAAAGAGAGGAGGACGGUGGGUAGCAAGGAGCAGUCAUUCCUGAGGAGCAGCCAGCCCUUCCUGACUGCAGCACGCUGCAGAUGUGUGCUUUGUGAAAGGCUGGAUAAGUUCAUCGCCACGGCAAGGAAAACUAUUCAGUGUGCCUCCUGGAGGUGUGGGAGGCUCUGCGACAAGCCUCCCGGGACAGGGGGAAUCUUUGGCCAGAGAACCUCUUUGGAGAAAACAGAGAGAGAUGCUCGGCUGUGCCACCACCAGCCUUUGCAGAAGCGGUGCGCCAAGCCCUGCUGCGGGGUCCUUCUGCAGCGGAGGACGUGUGCCGCUGGUCGAAAUCCUCAGACCAAAGCAAACAGUGCCACAGAAAAAUGCUGUAAGACAACCCAGUUUUGAGGGAAGUGCCCCUGAUAACUUCUCAGCUCCAGAGAGAAGCAGUGGAGGUUGGGGCCACUGAGUCUCCAUGGAAGUCAGAGGGUAAGGUUUGUUUAACUAAUUAGUGGUAAUCCUGAAUAACUCAGUGGGCUUUAAUUUAUGGGGUUUCCACCAGGUUCUGUGUUCAGCUCCUCACGGAGCGCCUGGAUCCCUGGGUUUUGUCACACAUGGAGUCCUGGAGACUGCCAUGGCCUGGAGAUCUGAGGCGGCCAUCUAGGGCACAGGGACAUGGCUUUAGGUCAAGUGCCCUCCAGUCCUCUGUAUCUGGUGGUGGGCAAGGAUCAUCCCUGGCUGUUGUCCCAAAGGUACUCUUGGGGAUCCACAAUGCAGACUAGGAGAUGGGCAGGAUGGACACCCUUGUCCAUCCAGUCUGAGGAGGCUGACUGUAUGUGGGACCU